This is a small nuclear RNA of Phodopus roborovskii (desert hamster), 107 nucleotides long. The record is from RefSeq and is a predicted model, not a curated record. NCBI's taxonomy places the organism in Eukaryota, Metazoa, Chordata, Mammalia, Rodentia, Cricetidae.
AUGCUCACUCCGCCAGCACAUCUUCUAAAAGUGGGAUGAUACACAAAAGAUUAGCAUGGCCCCUGGGCAAGGACACCACUCAAAUUCCUGACGCCUUUCAUGUGUUC